CGCGGUAAUACGUAGGUGGCAAGCGUUAUCCGGAAUUAUUGGGCGUAAAGGGAGCGUAGGCGGUUUGAUAAGUCUGAGGUGAAAGUUCGGGGCUCAACUCCGGAUUGCCUUUAGAAACUGUCAGACUAGAGUGCAGGAGAGGGCAAUGGAAUUCCAUGUGUAGCGGUAAAAUGCGUAGAUAUAUGGAGGAACACCAGUGGCGAAGGCGGUUGCCUGGCCUGUAACUGACGCUGAGGCUCGAAAGCGUGGGGAGCAAAUAGGAUUAGAUACCCUAGUAGUCCACGCUGUAAACGAUGAUUACUAAGUGUUGGAGCAAUUCAGUGCUGCAGUUAACGCAAUAAGUAAUCCGCCUGGGGAGUAUGCACGCAAGUGUGAAACUCAAAGGAAUUGACGGGGGCCCGCACAAGCGGUGGAGUAUGUGGUUUAAUUCGAAGCAACGCGAAGAACCUUACCAAGUCUUGACAUACCGCGCAAGGCCCUGGAGACAGGGAGAUAGUUAUGGCGGAUACAGGUGGUGCAUGGUUGUCGUCAGCUCGUGUCGUGAGAUGUUGGGUUAAGUCCCGCAACGAGCGCAACCCUUAUCUUUAGUUACCAUCAUUCAGUUGGGGACUCUAGAGAGACUGCCGGUGACAAACCGGAGGAAGGUGGGGAUGACGUCAAAUCAUCAUGCCCCUUAUGACUUGGGCUACACACGUACUACAAUGGCGUAUACAGAGAGACGCGAAGUGGCGACAUGGAGCAAACCUCACAAAGUACGUCUCAGUUCAGAUUGAAGUCUGCAACUCGACUUCAUGAAGGCGGAAUCGCUAGUAAUCGCGGAUCAGCAUGCCGCGGUGAAUACGUUCUCGGGCCUUGUACACACCGCCCGUCAAACCAUGAGAGUUGGUAAUACCCGAAGC
Molecule: ribosomal RNA, 899 nt
Filed under: uncultured bacterium
Lineage: Bacteria
Description: bacterial SSU rRNA
Rfam family: Bacterial small subunit ribosomal RNA
Source: RNAcentral